This 253-nucleotide ribosomal RNA is filed under the name uncultured bacterium. Its description in RNAcentral is "partial 16S ribosomal RNA". It matches the Rfam family "Bacterial small subunit ribosomal RNA", at positions 524 to 776 of the family's 1533-position model. The record is from RNAcentral.
UACGGAGGGUGCAAGCGUUAUCCGGAUUUACUGGGUUUAAAGGGUGCGCAGGCGGAUAUGUAAGUCAGUGGUGAAAUCUCCGGGCUUAACCCGGAAACUGCCGUUGAUACUAUAUAUCUUGAAUGCUGUGGAGGUAAGCAGAAUAUGUCAUGUAGCGGUGAAAUGCUUAGAGAUGACAUAGAAUACCGAUUGCGAAGGCAGCUUACUACGCAGAUAUUGACGCUCAUGCACGAAAGCGUGGGGAUCAAACAGG